Molecule: ribosomal RNA, 465 nt
Filed under: Vreelandella stevensii
Lineage: Bacteria; Pseudomonadati; Pseudomonadota; Gammaproteobacteria; Oceanospirillales; Halomonadaceae
Description: partial 16S ribosomal RNA
Rfam family: Bacterial small subunit ribosomal RNA
Source: RNAcentral
CCUACGGAGGGCUGCAGUGGGGAAUAUUGGACAAUGGGGGCAACCCUGAUCCAGCCAUGCCGCGUGUGUGAAGAAGGCCCUCGGGUUGUAAAGCACUUUCAGUGAGGAAGAACGCCUGGUGGUUAAUACCCAUCAGGAAAGACAUCACUCACAGAAGAAGCACCGGCUAACUCCGUGCCAGCAGCCGCGGUAAUACGGAGGGUGCGAGCGUUAAUCGGAAUUACUGGGCGUAAAGCGCGCGUAGGUGGCUUGAUAAGCCGGUUGUGAAAGCCCCGGGCUCAACCUGGGAACGGCAUCCGGAACUGUCAAGCUAGAGUGCAGGAGAGGAAGGUAGAAUUCCCGGUGUAGCGGUGAAAUGCGUAGAGAUCGGGAGGAAUACCAGUGGCGAAGGCGGCCUUCUGGACUGACACUGACACUGAGGUGCGAAAGCGUGGGUAGCAAACAGGAUUAGAUACCCGUGUAGUC